Molecule: ribosomal RNA, 419 nt
Filed under: uncultured bacterium
Lineage: Bacteria
Description: bacterial SSU rRNA
Rfam family: Bacterial small subunit ribosomal RNA
Source: RNAcentral
UGGGGAAUAUUGCACAAUGGGGAAAGACCCUGAUGCAGCAACGCCGCGUGAAGGAAGACGGUUUUCGGAUUGUAAACUUCUGUUCUUAGUGAAGAAUAAUGACGGUAGCUAAGGAGCAAGCCACGGCUAACUACGUGCCAGCAGCCGCGGUAAUACGUAGGUGGCAAGCGUUGUCCGGAAUUACUGGGUGUAAAGGGAGCGCAGGCGGGAGACCAAGUCAGCUGUGAAAACUACGGGCUUAACCUGUAGACUGCAGUUGAAAACUGGUUUUUCCUUGAGUGAAGUAGAGGUUGGCGGAAUUCCGAGUGUAGCGGUGAAAUGCGUAGAUAUUCGGAGGAACACCGGUGGCGAAGGCGGCCAACUGGGCUUUAACUGACGCUGAGGCUCGAAAGUGUGGGGAGCAAACAGGAUUAGAUACC